This is a long non-coding RNA of Setaria italica (foxtail millet), 1380 nucleotides long. RefSeq lists it as uncharacterized. NCBI's taxonomy places the organism in Eukaryota, Viridiplantae, Streptophyta, Magnoliopsida, Poales, Poaceae. The record is from RefSeq and is a predicted model, not a curated record. The transcript is spliced from 3 exons.
UAAAAAAAAACAGAACAAACAGAGCAGCGCAGCGAAAUGGCGUCCCCCGUCUGCACCAACGCCGCCGCCGGCACCCGCGUGGUCAUGGUCUCCCCGUCCCGCGCCGCGGAGCGCCUCCGUUCUCUGCGCCCGUCUCCCUCCGCCGCCGCAGUCUUCCGGCGCGAGGGAUCAAGGGGGGCAGGGAAUGGAUUCAUCGAAUUACGCACCGGUUUCACCGCCGUUCACUUCGGAAUUGACGACCGUUUGUUGCUUCGAUGUGCUCGUCCAUGGCUGAGCCUGCGUUGCGCCGGCGCGGAUUGGUCCGAGCCGGCCUUGGUGACCGUCGCGGAGAAGCUCGACGCGGCGGCGGCAGCAAGGAAGACGCGAGCGUUCGCCGGGGCCGGCGGCGAGGAGGAGAAGGGCCGGGUCGAGGCUAUCUAACGGUGUGAGCAGUGGUGCAAUGGAGGAUCCAGUGGCUGUAGCAGUGCCGUUCGCACCUUUGGAUCAGAGCUUGGUGCCUGUGGAUAGUGUCGGGGCGCUCGGCAGUAAGAAGGACUUUAAUCAGUCUAUUAAUACUUGGCAUGCCGUUCAUGCUCAAAGUAUACUACGGGUAUGCAGGACUGAGCUGUAUAAACAAUGCUAUGACAUUUUAGCAAAUGGCAAAAAACAGUGAAGCUAAUUGGUUUUGAUGUGGUUUAGGUUGGAAUGAAAGCUCUAGAUGUCCCCGUAUGUUAUGAAGUUGGUAAGCUUUAAUUGAAAAACAGAGGUCAGCAGGGUAAUUGCUAGAGCUUUUCUAUUGUAGUUUUGUGCUUUGCAACUUACAAUUUAGAAAUGAUCUUAAUUUUAUCAACCAAUAGAAGCAUAUGGCAUGAAAUGGUACAUAGAGUGAUUAUAGUAUCAGUAUUCUCAAUGAUUCCUUGUUUUUCCUGUUGGAACUUUGAUCUAGGACACUUCUAUAUCUGAACGUUGAGGACUCAUUGCCCUCUUUCAGUCAUCUAUCCUUCGAUACGUCAUUUUCUUAUUCAGCUGCUUAUGCGCUGUUUUUCUUACUACAGCUGGGCUUCGAGGAGAUUUCUACAUAUUUGAUAUAUGUCACUAGUGCUUUCUUUGCUGGUGGAUCCUGUCAGCUAUUGUUUCGGCACUUGAUUCCAUCCCAUUGGUCAGUCAGUAGUUAUCAAGUUUUGCAUUAACGCACAGUUCUUUGCACCAUGGAAGUACUUGUAAAUUGUAACUGAUUGUAGUCCUGUCUGCAGCUCCCAAAGAUUCUGGAAAUUGUGGGCCUUGAAUACACAAUUUGGUUCGGCACUCGGUAUCUCCCUUUCAAGGAAAACAGAGAUGAGCUGCUCGUCAAAGUUGAAGAUCUUAAGAGAAGAAUUGUUGGAUCCGGUGAUGAAUGAUAAG